CUAAACACACCAGCUUCCACCCCUCAGAUGCUUGACCCCAAAUACCGACCCGCUCAGGGACCCGCGCGCUGCGGGCGCCGCUGCAGCCUCUGCCCGGGGCGCGUUGUCCUGGCGCCAGGAGGUCCUGGGGCCGCCCCCGAGGCGGGUUAUUGACAGGGAUUGUUGACUGCCAGUCCUGCCUGCAGCACUGAAAUGGUAUUAGAGCGCAACGGUGCUGAGCCAAUGGUUUGCAGCAGGAUGGGGAGAUGUGUUCAGUGCCCAUCUCUGAGCUGGCUAUUUGCUCCCCAAGCCCGGGAGACCUUAGCUUGUAGCCUAUGAACUUUGGAUGGACCUUUCCCCCCCACUAUUUACCAACAAAUCCAGACAACAGGCCAGGAUUUUACCCGUUUAGCAAUCUGCAAAGACAAUGUUGACUGUUUCAGCACAGAGCCCAGCAGAAGUUCAUGCUCAGGUUGCACAAGGAAAGACCACAGGAUUUAGCAGCGUGCCCCAAAAAGCCAACACAGAGUGUGAACACUGGGAGCCCAAUAAUUAUUUCUGAAUGCCAGAACUACUUUUUGGUUCAGUUUCUCUGAACCAGUCUCUCUUACUCCAAACAUCUGCCACGUGUUGUGUUGUAUUGCUUUGUUUUGUUCUGUGCUGUAGUUGACACUAACAUGUUGUACAGUGCUUUGAGGUCCACAAGAGUGACUGGAAAAUGGAGAGUGAAGAAAAGCUACCUCUCAUGCUUUUAUACUGUCUGUUUGGCUCACCCAGAACACUGGAAGAUGAUGGUAUUACAAAAUAUAAGCAGUUUUCUGGGAGGAGGGACCAGGUACUGGUCAGUUCCUUCAGGUUGCAGAGAAAGCUGCAAGGAGGCUGAGUGGGAGGUGGGAACAGCCACGGACCGGUGGAAGUGCUGGCUCCUGCUGAUGGUAUCUCCAGAUGGCAACUAGGUGUUUUUUGGAAGAUACACCUUAGUGUAAUACAGGCUGUCUCUGUCUCAUGCCAAAGUUACUGGACCAGUAUGGAGGUUACUGGGUAAAACCAGGAGGAAUCUGGAGAGUAUCCAAGACCUUGUGAAUCCAGCGGCAGCACUUCCCGGCGCUGCCCGAGGGCGGGUGUCGGGCGCUGCUGCGGGAGGAACAGGCAGGUUUUCAGCCCUGUCUGCAGAUCAGUGUGAGACCCAUUCAUCACACACCUCCUGCCUAACCACUUCAUGAUUAAAUAUUUACAGUAAGAAUUUAUUCACCAUUAAACCCAUAAAUAUAAGGAUUACAGAGAAAGUCAGAAUGGUUCAGUCAGGAAAGAGCACUAAUUAUUUUCACCCUUGUGGGUUUUUCUGCAUUCAAUACUUGAAUUUCAAAAUGAAAAUAUUUCUAUAAACUCCUGCUUUCAUGUGAGUACAGUUGGUUUAAUUUCUUAUUCAGUGUGCAGCCUGAAAAGGAGAAUAAAUACUCAUCUAAUCAUUUACGUUCAGUGAUAAUUUGGGCCCUGAGCAACAAAGUAUUUAAGCAGACUAUAAAACUUCAGGCAGUCAGCUAUUCCCACCGACUGCAGAAGGAUUAUUCAGAGGCCCAAAGUGAAAAGUUGUUUAUUCAGAGCAGCACAAAGCAAACUCACCUGUGCUGGGACCUGAGUCGUGGUGCCCGAGCUGGGGAGAGGGAUGAUGGGCAUUGAUGAUCUGGGGCUCGGGAAGCAGCUCUGGCCCCAGCAGGAGCCACCGGGACGAGUCCCUGGCUCACAGGGUUUGUGUCACCUGAGAAAUCCACAUCACCUUGUCUGAUACUGCCCUGGUGAUCCAGCCUGGUGUGAGUGUGAGCAUGUGGCAACAGCACCAGGGACCCAAGUUGCUCAUCUUAGUUUUAUUUGAACUUUUAUAAACUUUUAUAAAUAGUAUGAGUGAUGAAAAUUACAUAACUUUAGAAAGUGAUACAGCUGGACUUCUAAAAGACAUUUAAUGAGCUUACAUUACCCAAGGUGCUCUACAACCAACUAUAUUUAAAAUUAAAUACUAAAAAUUUUGGCGUGGAUUAACUGUUUACCUUGCUAGCAAAAAAGCUCCCAUUUAGGGAUUGGUUUUGCUACCAACAGGCACAACCAGGAAGCAAUAUUCCAUCUAAGCUCCUUGCUGAUGAGAAAAUAAUAGGAAAACAGGUCACUGAUGCAUGCCCAGGGGACACUGCUGGGGCUGCUCACCACCGGGCCGGGGAGAUGUGGAGAUCAGGCUGCUCCCGACUGCUGCUCCGGGCUGGAGCAGGGGUGGAAACACCCACCAGCUGCUCCGGGGAGCUGCAGCCACCUCCUGCUCCAGUCCCCUCCCGCCAGGAGAUCGAUGGGAGCCGUUUCCGAACGGGGGGAACAGCUCAGUGAUGAAUGUUGCCGGAAAGCCCAAGCUGACUUUAUCUCCAUGGCCCAAAAAUGCUGAGGCUGGUUCUGUGUCUGGAGGAGCUGUUUUGCUGCCCGGGCGGGGAGGAAAUAAUCUGAGUAACAGGAAGGAGGGGAUUGUCCAGACCUAAGCAGUGGUGCAGUUAUUCUUCCAAAUUUGCACAGCUGAGGUUGGGUUUUUCUAGACAUCCAUCACAUCCCUAAGAAAGAACAUGAUGUUUAGGAUUGUAGGUGUUUUAGGCAUUUAGUGAAUUGGUGGCAUUGCAAGAGAGCGUCAUCCUCAAAAUGUCAAUUUUUCAUCUCCUUGCAGGUCUUCUUCUUUUUUCUCUCCUUUUUAUAGGAAGGGUGAAUAUAAGGAAAGCGAAUGGGAUCUGUAACUGUAGCUCGUUUUCCCUGCACUAUCAAUAUAUGAAUAUCAUGUUCAUAACUAUACCUAAAUAAAUCUAAAACCAUUCAAACUUUACAUGAUGCCAUCAAUAACCCUAUGAAAAUAAAUACAUUUGUGUUUUACUGAGUA
Molecule: long non-coding RNA, 2884 nt
Organism: Apus apus (common swift)
Lineage: Eukaryota; Metazoa; Chordata; Aves; Apodiformes; Apodidae
Exons: 2
Source: RefSeq, a predicted model, not a curated record